ACAUAGGGUGCAAGCGUUGUCCGGAAUUAUUGGGCGUAAAGAGCUCGUAGGUGGUUCGUCACGUCGGAUGUGAAACUCUGGGGCUUAACCCCAGACCUGCAUUCGAUACGGGCGAGCUUGAGUAUGGUAGGGGAGUCUGGAAUUCCUGGUGUAGCGGUGGAAUGCGCAGAUAUCAGGAGGAACACCAAUGGCGAAGGCAGGACUCUGGGCCAUUACUGACACUGAGGAGCGAAAGCGUGGGGAGCGAACAGGAUUAGAUACCCUGGUAGUCCACGCCGUAAACGGUGGGCACUAGUUGUGGGGACCUUCCACGGUCUCUGCGACGCAGCUAACGCAUUAAGUGCCCCGCCUGGGGAGUACGAUCGCAAGAUUA
Molecule: ribosomal RNA, 373 nt
Filed under: uncultured bacterium
Lineage: Bacteria
Description: bacterial SSU rRNA
Rfam family: Bacterial small subunit ribosomal RNA
Source: RNAcentral